UACGUAGGGGGCGAGCGUUAUCCGGAUUUACUGGGUGUAAAGGGAGCGUAGACGGCGUCGCAAGUCUGAAGUGAAAGCCCGUGGCUCAACCGCGGAACCGCUUUGGAAACUGUGAGGCUGGAGUGCUGGAGAGGUAAGCGGAAUUCCUGGUGUAGCGGUGAAAUGCGUAGAUAUAAGGAAGAACACCAGUGGCGAAGGCGGAUGACUGGACGGCAACUGACGGUGAGGCGCGAAAGCGUGGGGAGCAAACAGG
RNAcentral lists this ribosomal RNA (253 nucleotides) under uncultured bacterium. RNAcentral's name for it is "partial 16S ribosomal RNA". It matches the Rfam family "Bacterial small subunit ribosomal RNA", at positions 524 to 776 of the family's 1533-position model. The record is from RNAcentral.